GGGGCUGUGGCUCAGCGGCAGAGUGCUUGCCUCGAAUGUAUGAGGCACUGGGUUCAAUCCUCAGCACCACA
RNAcentral lists this transfer RNA (71 nucleotides) under Marmota monax (woodchuck). Its description in RNAcentral is "tRNA.Ser". It matches the Rfam family "tRNA". From Rfam's summary of the family: Transfer RNA (tRNA) molecules are approximately 80 nucleotides in length. Their secondary structure includes four short double-helical elements and three loops (D, anti-codon, and T loops). Further hydrogen bonds mediate the characteristic L-shaped molecular structure. tRNAs have two regions of fundamental functional importance: the anti-codon, which is responsible for specific mRNA codon recognition, and the 3' end, to which the tRNAs corresponding amino acid is attached (by aminoacyl-tRNA synthetases). tRNAs cope with the degeneracy of the genetic code in two manners: having more than one tRNA (with a specific anti-codon) for a particular amino acid; and 'wobble' base-pairing, i.e. permitting non-standard base-pairing at the 3rd anti-codon position. The record is from RNAcentral. Lineage: Eukaryota; Metazoa; Chordata; Mammalia; Rodentia; Sciuridae.